This is a long non-coding RNA of Triticum dicoccoides, 279 nucleotides long. RefSeq lists it as uncharacterized. The transcript has 4 exons. NCBI's taxonomy places the organism in Eukaryota, Viridiplantae, Streptophyta, Magnoliopsida, Poales, Poaceae. The record is from RefSeq and is a predicted model, not a curated record.
CUAACAACAAGCCUGCACAACAACAUGCUCGCGCACACCGCAACCAUAGAGAUAUACCGCGACACAUACCAGGAGAGUUGUGCUUCAUGUAGCUAUUACAGCAGGAUAAUUGUAUGCUUGCGUUGAAGAAGAGGUUAUACCAACCGAGGCCAAGUGCACUGAACUUACCCAUGCCUCGUUUGGGGCUCAAAUGUGGAGACCUCUCCUCUAGGGGACAACAUCACAAUGUAUUUUCAUAGAAUACUUAUGAUUGGCAAGAAAGGCGGCAGCUGACGAAAG